GAUGAACGCUGGCGGCGUGCCUAAUACAUGCAAGUCGAACGAGUUCUCGUUGAUGAUCGGUGCUUGCACCGAGAUUCAACAUGGAACGAGUGGCGGACGGGUGAGUAACACGUGGGUAACCUGCCCUUAAGUGGGGGAUAACAUUUGGAAACAGAUGCUAAUACCGCAUAGAUCCAAGAACCGCAUGGUUCUUGGCUGAAAGAUGGCGUAAGCUAUCGCUUUUGGAUGGACCCGCGGCGUAUUAGCUAGUUGGUGAGGUAAUGGCUCACCAAGGCGAUGAUACGUAGCCGAACUGAGAGGUUGAUCGGCCACAUUGGGACUGAGACACGGCCCAAACUCCUACGGGAGGCAGCAGUAGGGAAUCUUCCACAAUGGACGCAAGUCUGAUGGAGCAACGCCGCGUGAGUGAAGAAGGCUUUCGGGUCGUAAAACUCUGUUGUUGGAGAAGAAUGGUCGGCAGAGUAACUGUUGUCGGCGUGACGGUAUCCAACCAGAAAGCCACGGCUAACUACGUGCCAGCAGCCGCGGUAAUACGUAGGUGGCAAGCGUUAUCCGGAUUUAUUGGGCGUAAAGCGAGCGCAGGCGGUUUUUUAAGUCUGAUGUGAAAGCCCUCGGCUUAACCGAGGAAGCGCAUCGGAAACUGGGAAACUUGAGUGCAGAAGAGGACAGUGGAACUGCAUGUGUAGCGGUGAAAUGCGUAGAUAUAUGGAAGAACACCAGUGGCGAAGGCGGCUGUCUGGUCUGUAACUGACGCUGAGGCUCGAAAGCAUGGGUAGCGAACAGGAUUAGAUACCCUGGUAGUCCAUGCCGUAAACGAUGAAUGCUAGGUGUUGGAGGGUUUCCGCCCUUCAGUGCCGCAGCUAACGCAUUAAGCAUUCCGCCUGGGGAGUACGACCGCAAGGUUGAAACUCAAAGGAAUUGACGGGGGCCCGCACAAGCGGUGGAGCAUGUGGUUUAAUUCGAAGCAACGCGAAGAACCUUACCAGGUCUUGACAUCUUUUGAUCACCUGAGAGAUCAGGUUUCCCCUUCGGGGGCAAAAUGACAGGUGGUGCAUGGUUGUCGUCAGCUCGUGUCGUGAGAUGUUGGGUUAAGUCCCGCAACGAGCGCAACCCUUAUGACUAGUUGCCAGCAUUUAGUUGGGCACUCUAGUAAGACUGCCGGUGACAAACCGGAGGAAGGUGGGGAUGACGUCAAAUCAUCAUGCCCCUUAUGACCUGGGCUACACACGUGCUACAAUGGAUGGUACAACGAGUUGCGAGACCGCGAGGUCAAGCUAAUCUCUUAAAGCCAUUCUCAGUUCGGACUGUAGGCUGCAACUCGCCUACACGAAGUCGGAAUCGCUAGUAAUCGCGGAUCAGCACGCCGCGGUGAAUACGUUCCCGGGCCUUGUACACACCGCCCGUCACACCAUGAGAGUUUGUAACACCCGAAGCCGGUGGCGUAACCCUUUUAGGGAGCGAGCCGUCUAAGGUGGGACAAAUGAUUAGGGUG
This 1492-nucleotide ribosomal RNA is filed under the name Lacticaseibacillus paracasei. Its description in RNAcentral is "bacterial SSU rRNA". It matches the Rfam family "Bacterial small subunit ribosomal RNA". The record is from RNAcentral. Lineage: Bacteria; Bacillati; Bacillota; Bacilli; Lactobacillales; Lactobacillaceae.